AUUAACAUUAUCCAGAACCAACAGUUUCUCUAUUACUAUCGAUAACUCACCGGUCUUCAUUUCUUCCUCUGUGAAAAGUUUGGGUGUCAUCCUCGACUUUAUCUUUCAAUUCACACAUUAAUAAUGUUACUCGGUCUGCAUAUUUUCAAUUGCGCAACAUUAAUCGUCUCCAUCCUUUUCUCACCCCACAUGCUAAUGCCAUUCUUGUCCAUAGCCUUGUUACUUCCCGGAUUGAUUAUUGUAAUUCACUUCUUUUUGGUCUUACUCAAAAAUCCAUCCACAAGCUCCAACGCGUCCAGAACUCUGCUGCCCGUAUCAUCACCAGGACCCCUUCUGUCCACCACAUCACUCCUGCCUUGCAGCAGCUUCAUUGGCUCCCGGUCAAAUAUCGCAUCAAUUUCAAAAUACUCUUGUACACAUUUAAGGCUAUUCAUCAUCUCUCUCCUCCAUAUCUCUCUGAUCUGGUUAAGAUCACCGCCCCAUCUCGUUGUCUCAGAUCUUCUUCUUCCCUUUCACUCUCCGUCCCUUCCCCCCAUCUUGCAACCAUGGGCAGCAGGACUUUCAGCUGCUCUGCUCCACGACUCUGGAAUUCCCUAAAUCCUGAUUUAAGAAAUAUCUCUUCCUUCUCACUCUUUAAGUCCAAACUCAAAACCCACUUGUACAAAAUAGCUUAUCCCACAUAACCUCUCCACUCUGCUAUUUUAUUUGUUUAUGUCUUAUCCUUUUAUGUUGCUUUUAUUCUACCGUGUACAGUGACCUUGAGUGUUUUGAAAGGCGCUUUCAAAUAAAAUUUAUCAUUAUUAUUAUUAUUAUUAUUAUUAUUAUUAGUCUGGUGAGAUUAUUUUUCUCUGCAAUUCAUGAAUAGGCAUGUUACUGAACUUGCAUUUGAACAAGAAGAUGUGAUACAGAGUUUCCUCCAUGAAGAAUUUUCCUCAUCUUAAAAUGAAACAUGAAUCUUUUAAAGUAGACCAAAAGUUUCACAUUUCCAUGGUGGUUAGCUAGGGCCUUGUAUCUUAAUUGCAAAAUCCUAACUCUGAUAUGCUGAGACAGGCAGGAUUCACAUGGAUGAAUUUCUGGCUUCAACACUCUUAUUUGCCUUGAAUUGGGUAACAUCAUGCAUCGCUGAUCUAAAUUACAGAUCAAUUGCUUUGCUUUGUCUGUACUAUAAGUGGAGAGACAUUCAAGAUCUGAAGCACCAGUGCAGACAUUCAACAGUCAUGAUUAUUCACUUGUGAUUUGUGCAGUUUGGCAUCUAAAUGUAAGAAAUAAGUUAUUCAUUGCAGUGAAUAAUCACCCUGUCGUAUUUGAACAAAAUUACUCCGAGGAAGGCACCUCGGCUGAUGUUAAAGGCUAAUCAAAGCUUGGCUAGCUUGCCUUGUGAUGAUUGGUUACUAUUGCUAUGACAUUUGUGCCAGCAAAGUUACCCCCAAACAUCAGGAAAGCUUAUGUCAAACGUUGGAAGCAAUGCAUUGAUGUGAAUCCUGCCUUGACUUACAUAGGUGAUAAUACUGCAAGGGUUGACUCAGCUAAACAAACUUUAACUGACUAUAACUAUAACUGAUUCUUCUUCACAAAAAGAAGAACCUCACUACUUAGUACUCAUCUAUGUAAAGCUCCAAAAGGAGCCACUCACUGCAUUCAGAUCUGCUGUAAAAGCUUUGCUAUUCUAACAUUAAGAUAAGUAAAAGACUAUAUAAGCAAAGACACAGUUGUUAUGGAACAAAUGCAGACUAACUGAAAUGUAAAAUUAAAGUUUUAUAUUGUCAAGAAUAAACAGUGAAUAGUUUAGAGCAAAUACUCUCAAAAGUUGGAACAUUAUUUUACCCUGGCAGCUUAAGUUGCCGUCACACUGGAAACGAUUCCCUCAUUGCAUAUUUACUUUGAAGCUGACGACUGGUCACUUAGUAGAAUGCCGGGAAGUUGAGAGAUGUUUCUUGGGUCCUGCUCGCUUUGAGUCACCAGCUGUUAUUUUCCCCGUACUUGCUCGACGCGACUUUCUAUGGUCUCUGGUUGUUACAUCAGUGUAAAUUGUUUCCAGUAUGGAUGCAGCUUCAGUCUACAAAAAAAAAGACAGGCUUGACACUUGACGCAAGUAGUAAAAGCAUUAAUCCACUCUGUAGCAAUAAUGACAGUUAUACUCUGUGCUCUACAUAGAAUAAAAACUGUCAAAAUUACUAUGGGUUGCAAGAUGAGGCAGGUCAAACAUAGGCUGUUGUAAGAUUUUGUAAAAAAAUUCUAAAAUAAGCUAAUAAUUACCUGUUGUGACCAGACCACUUAAAUGGCUAAUCUUUUGUUUGUAAAUGGAAAACCUUCUAAGUGCAAUCAUUUAGUGUGAUAAACCAAAACUGCAUGGGCUUGACCAUUUUUAGAUAAAUACUAUCAUUUGGGAAAUGUCUAUUUAAAAUCUCUUUAGAAGUUAUUCCAUACAAAAUAAAAAAUGCCAUAGAUAAUCUUCUGCAGUUAUAACCUGUACAGCACUAUAACAUGAAAUCUUAAUGCUCUCAGCCCCACUGUAGCAGCUUCUCCAUAGACCGUAGUACACCAAUUGCUUUGGGAGGAAGCCAGCAGAUUGUUACUCCUGCUGAACCAUCAACACAUCCGGUACCACAGUGGAAUCCCCCUCCAGUGGAACGUCAUUCUCUAGAUAAUAGUGACCGUGCUGGUGAGGAAUUCCUGAGAUGCAUUGCAGCCAACAAACCUCUCCCAAACUAUCUGAAAGGCAACAUGGCAUACAACCUGGCUGACGCAUUUAAGUCAGCUAGUAUCUUGAAAGAAGCAGUCAAAUCAGACCGUGAAUUCCAGAAGCAUGUGCCUAGAAGCAAGAGCCGUAGUCGAAGCAGAAGCCGAGGCAGGUCUCGAGCCAAGAGUCGCGGUCGAAGCAAAAGCAGAGUACGCAGCCGAAGCAGGGGAAGAAGCAAAACUCAAGCCUGUGGGAAGAGUCGAGCUAGAAGCAAAAGUAGGGCUCGCAGUAGGAGUCGGAGCAACAGUCGAAGUGAGAAAAAAAGUCAUGUACGGAGCAAGAGUCGAGCAAGGCGAUCCAAGUCACGAAGUAGCAGUAGUGAAAAGAGCCGAGGCAAAGGCAAAAAGAAAAACAGGAGCCCCGGACUCAUCACUGUCAACAGCAGUAAUAAUCUGCCAGGAAAUAGUCUAUUAGAAGGAUUGAAGCUGGUUAUGAGCAGCCAAGAUUUGGAAGAUCACCUGCCAUCUCUCAAAGAUAUCAUCCUCACUAUUAAGGCUCCAGAUGAGGGCAAAAAAGUUGAGUGUGUAUCUAAUGAGCCUACACACAUGGAACAUGACAGUCAAGACAGUUUAUCAAUGCUGGAAAAGGAAAGCAUGCUGCUUCCGCAUGAAAGAGUUGGUGGUGAUUUCUCAUGGCUUCAAGGACAAAGUCAAGAAGAUGCUGCAUACCAGAAAGCUAAUGAACUUGAAGAUGAAGAGUCUUUCUUGUAUGGGAAUGAACCAGCUUCCCAGAUUAAUGAAAAGGCCAAACUACAGAAAGAGAGUAGUUCCCUUUCCACUCGUUGUGGACAUCUUCUUGAUCCAAAUCAGUCCCUGCAGUUGGCUUCUUCAACUUUAGUCCACUCCAAUCUGGACAACAUGGAAUAUGAGAAAAUCAAGACCAUAUUAAAAAGCCUGGGUUCAUCAAGUGAGAUCAAGGUGAAGACGCAGGGUCAGAAUGAGCAGGAGUCAUCUCCUACACUUGUCAAUUCAGACAAAGCAGCAGCAACUUUAGCAUUGCCAGCACUCAAUAACCCAAAUGUACGUCAGGCUCUGGAGUCUCUGCAAUCUCUGAUCAAAGCUACAAAGGAGAAACGAACAAAAAGUGACUGCGCAUCUCAAGCAUCUGAUAAACAUAAGGAGGGUGACAGUGAGGAAAGGAAGAGAGAGAAACAAGAGAAAGUAAAUAAAAUGGAGUCUUUGGCCAAAGAACUGGAUGAACUGUUAAAACAAGAUGGACUGGGUUUUAUAACUCCAGUUACUGGCUUUUACUGCCAGAACUGUGAGGAGUUCAUUGGAGAUUUGAAGUCUGCUGAAAACCAUGCAGCUAUCCGCCAUCAUAGUAACUCUAUUGCAAAAGAACAGACGGACAGGCACUCUAAAGACAUCAAAGGACACCCACAUCAUUACAGUCCCUCCAGUAAUCGACACCCUGACCCCCCAGACAGGAGAGAUCACAGGGGUUAUGGUUACCGCGGGGAUUCAGGAAACCACCGGAAUAGCACAGACCAUCUACGGAAUUGGAAGGAUGGCAAAGAUUUCAGAAGCCGAUACCAUGAUGAUGACCACAAAAGUCACAAGGAUAGAGAUAAAAACAUCUUCUUGAAAGAGGAAAUGAAAAAGGAGCGAAUGUUUAUAACAGUCUCCGAUGGACUGACACCUUCAACUUCUAACAUCAGGGUCAAGGAGGAGGUGGACAAGGAGAAGGCCACUGGAAGCCAUGGUAAAGUUAAAGCGAAAGACCUAGAAUCAUCCAAGGAAAAGAAAGGCAGCAUUGAAAAUGAUCAAUACAGUGAUAGCACUGAUGAUGACGGAAAAUCACCUAAAACAAAAAAGAAUAAAAAGAAAAAGAAGAAGAAGGAGAAGGAGAAGGAGAAAAAGAAUAAGAAUAAGAAACAGAAGGAGAAGUCUUAGGUGUUAUUUUGUCCUUGUCAUAUAACUCUGGGAUGAUGGUAGCAGCUUAUUUCUGGACUGAUUUUCUAACAUAGUUUUCUCACUUUCUUUUCCUCCACCCAAUUGUUUUUUGUUACUGUCAUUAGAAGAGGAAGGUAGACCUCAGAGUGAUUCAUCAUGUAUGAAGGAAUAGACUGAUAUGUUAGGAAGCACGUUUGUUGGUGGUCUUUCUCUAAAAGAAGAUUAGUAUUACUUUUGUCUUUGUGUAUCUAGUACAGUGGUCUUUACCUCACUUAGAACUAAGAUUGAUUUUUCUCAGUUAAUUCAGGUAUUUUUCCCCCACUUCAGACAGCGUGUUUGCUCGGUCAAAUUAAUUCUCAUGUGGAAUGAAAUGUUCUCAUGUGUUCCUCAGUAAACAGGCAAACAAAAACCUUUUCCAAGACGUCUGUUCCUUUUACACAUUCUGCACAGUUUUCAGCACUGUAUUAAAGUCUGCCACGUUUCAGGUAUGGCAUCACAUCUUGGUUCUAUUUUUUAAUUAAAUGUUCAAUAAAAUAAGCAGUAAGAAAAUAAGCAGUAAGAAAUUUUUUUCAUUUCAUUGGACCAACAGCAUUGUAGUUUUAGAAAAGGUAUACAUGUAUCUGACAUCUUGUAUUCAUUUUGAUCUCAAAUAAAGACGUAAAAUAAACAAAUGUGUACUAUUCCUUAGUUUUUGGGGUUUUCUUUCUUGAUUUUAUGUUUGAUAUUAUGUUUGAGUGGCUCCCAUCAGGAAGUACAUGUAGACUAUGCUUCCAGGAUGUAGGACACAAAAAAAAGGGUCACUAAUGUCCCUACAGCAUUUCAACAUCUGAACUGUAAGCCUUUCCCACCCCAGUAUUGCAUCCUUUUCUUGCUUCCUUCCCCACACAUUCAGUUCCUUGGUAAUUGAACUGAUCAUUGAAUCUGAACUAUGAUUGGUCAUUUUAUACUGAUGCUUUUAUGUUCUAUGUCUUAUGUGGUGGUCUCUGUGCCUUUUUAAUUGCCCC
This is a long non-coding RNA of Astatotilapia calliptera (eastern happy), 5636 nucleotides long. The record is from Ensembl. NCBI's taxonomy places the organism in Eukaryota, Metazoa, Chordata, Actinopteri, Cichliformes, Cichlidae.